CAAGGCAUGGGGGAGGAGCGGAGAUGGUGUUCCGUGUCUUGUGUCGGCGAGCGGUGAUGUUGUCCCCUAGGGGUCUGUGUCCUCAACCCAUGGGCUAUCAGUAGUCUGCCCGAGCUGCUAUCGCAGCGAGGGCGGGAAGUCGCGUGCUGAUUGGGCUACGGACGUAGAAUGUCCUCUCGCGGGGGAUUUUCCCUAGGCGGUGAACAGUCGACUCAGAAUUGGUACGAACAAGGGGAAUCCGACUGUUUAAUUAAAACAAAGCAUUGUGAUGGUCCCUGUGGAUGCUAACGCAAUGUGAUUUUUGCCUAGUGCUCUGAAUGUCAAAGUGAAGAAAUUCAACCAAGCGAGGGUAAACGGCGGGAGUAACUAUGACUCUCUUAAGGUAUCCAAAUGCCUCAUCAUCUAAUUAGUGACGCGCAUGAAUGGAUCAACGAGAUUCCCACUGUCCCUAUCUACUAUCUAGCGAAACCACAACCAAGGGAACGGGCUUGGAAGAAUCAGCAGGGAAAGAAGACCCUGUUGAGCUUGACUCUAGUCCGACUUUGUGAAAUGACUUGAGAGGUGUAGAAUAAGUGGGAGCUGUUUUCGGCGCAAGUGAAAU
Molecule: non-coding RNA, 601 nt
Organism: Picea glauca (white spruce)
Lineage: Eukaryota; Viridiplantae; Streptophyta; Pinopsida; Pinales; Pinaceae
Source: Rfam